CCUACGGGUGGCUGCAGUAGGGAAUAUUGCUCAAUGGGGGAAACCCUGAAGCAGCAACGCCGCGUGGAGGAUGAAGGUUUUCUGAGUGGAAACUCCUUUUGGUAGAGAAGAGCAUGACGGUACCUAACGAAUAAUCCCCGGCUAACCCCGGGCCAGCAGCCGCGGGAAUACGGAGGGGGCAAGCGUUACUCGGAAUUACUGGGCGUAAAGGGUGCGUAGGCGGGGUAAUAAGUCAGAUGUGAAAUCCUGUUGCUUAACUCCAGAACUGCAUUUGAAACUGUUACUCUGGAGUGUGGGAGAGGUAGGUGGAAUUCUUGGUGUAGGGGUGAAAUCCGUAGAGAUCAGGAGGAAUACUGAUUGCGAAGGCGGCCUGCUGGAACAUAACUGACGCUGAUGCACGAAAGCGUGGGGAGCAAACAGGAUUAGAUACCCCUGUAGUC
Molecule: ribosomal RNA, 440 nt
Filed under: uncultured bacterium
Lineage: Bacteria
Description: partial 16S ribosomal RNA
Rfam family: Bacterial small subunit ribosomal RNA
Source: RNAcentral